AUUAGAUGUCAGACUUUCAGAGAAGCAAAUUGCUUUUUCCAAUUAUUUGUAAAAUAUCUUAAAUAUUUAUAAAAACAAUAAACAUGAGUAGGGAAUUCGUGUGGGCAAUCAAGAAUGGAGAUUUAGAACAAGUGAAGCUAAUUGUAGAGAAACAGCAUAUAGACGUUAAUCAGGAAGUAGAUGGACGCCCUUCAAUUUUAUAUGCAGCAGAUUACGGCCAAAGAGCUGUUAUGGAGUACUUACUUACUGUUGGAGCUGAUGUAAAUGUAAGUUCAUUCCGUGUAUGACUAGUAAUUAACUAAUUGGAAGUAUGCAAUGUUAUGUGAAGUUCUAAUGUGCCAUACACUCAGAUUUUCCCCACAGCAACAUAUUUUUUUUACAUUUUGAAAAUUGCAGGAUUUACUCGUCUAAAUAAUUAGAAAAAUAAACUAUAACAAUAUGCGCAUCUCA
Molecule: long non-coding RNA, 450 nt
Organism: Dendroctonus ponderosae (mountain pine beetle)
Lineage: Eukaryota; Metazoa; Arthropoda; Insecta; Coleoptera; Curculionidae
Exons: 2
Source: RefSeq, a predicted model, not a curated record